This is a long non-coding RNA of Chelonus insularis, 1770 nucleotides long. RefSeq lists it as uncharacterized. The record is from RefSeq and is a predicted model, not a curated record. The transcript has 5 exons. NCBI's taxonomy places the organism in Eukaryota, Metazoa, Arthropoda, Insecta, Hymenoptera, Braconidae.
UGAUAAUGCUAAUUCAAAUCUUCUACUCCUGGAGAUGUACUCUCCUCUGUGGUAUUCAAACUCAAGUCUUGCAGUCUGUUCUCCACUGAAAGUUGUUCGCUGUCGUCUUGGUCUACCUUCUUUUCUCCUUCUCCUGGCAUCUACAACAAUGUAAUCAACGUCAAUACUUUGCAAAUUCUAUGAAAACUUUGUUGAUUGGUGCGUAAAAACGAGUAAGCGUUUGGAAUAUGUGUAUCACGUUUAUUGUUGCGCCAACUGUAAUCCGAUCAAAUUCGACGGACAGUCGACCGACCCAACGAACAGAAGGACUGUCCAGCGAAUUUCAAAGAGAAAGAGAGUGGAAAAAAUAAAUCCAACUAUUUCAUCCGUAAAUUUUCAUUUUUAUUUUUAUUUUUAUGCUGUUCAAUAACUUGUAACAUUAUUUCUUCUAUUGUAAUAUUUUUUACUUUGUAAUAUUUACAUUUUUUUAAAAUCUCUUUUUUGCAUCUAACACCUGGAUGAGUUUUCAAGGGGUAUGAGGGUGGAUCUAAACAAACUUCAAUGAUUAAGUGAUCGCCUGAGGAUAAUUGGAUUGGAUGGGAAAUAAUCAUUAAGAAAACAUCUGACGAGUCUAUUAAAAAAAAUAUUUAAACGAAAAAUUAAACCAAAUAAAGAUGGAUAAGUGAGAUGUUUAAUUUAGGGAUAGAUGUUCUUAAGCAUUUAUCUAUUUAAACAGAAAAUCGUUUCACAAGGUUUAAUUAAAAUACAAAAGUGUAUUGAAAAAUUAUUGAUGGAUGAAUGUUUCAAUUAGAAUAAAUUAAACAUGGAAUCAAAUUUAUUAUCUGCAGUUAAGUAUUAAAUAACUACUUGACAAAAGUAAAGCUUAUUAACCUAAGGCUCUAUUUGCUUCAAGUAUCGUCCUUAUACAUAUGUGCAUAUAAAUAUGCUCACCAAGGCUGAAAGCAUUAAUUUAUUUAAUUUAAUUACUCCAUUUACGAAUAGUAAUUACUAAGAGUUUUACCAACUCGAUGAUUGAAACAAAUCAAAUGACUUUGCAGAAGAAGCUUUUGGUAAUAUUAAUCAAGAAGUUGAUCAUCAUUCAUGAUAUUUUUGAUGAAAUUAUCAAUAAGAAUUCUAGUUAUUUUUAAAUGAAGCUAAUCUGAAGGAAUGGAACACAAAAGUGAUAAUUUUUAUUUUAUAAACAAAAGGAUUGUAACAUGAAUUUGAUGAAAGUGAUAAAGAAGAACGUUUUGAUUACAUCCUGUGUCACAAGUUGAUAUCAUUUUGUUGUGGUUACUUAGUUCGAGGAGGGACAAUUAGGAUCCGGUUUCCAUUUUCACUUGACGAGAUUACGCGAAGCCUCGUGCUUACUAACUUCCGGUAUCGUUUUGCCCCGCAUCCUAAUUAUCAGAAGGGGAUGAAUGGUCGAGUGAUAACAGCAGAAACCGAAGAGAAAGAGGAGGAAGAAGAAGAGGAAGUGGUGUUAUACUCAACAUUGAGAUGCGGCCAACUGCGUUCAGUAAUCUCAUCACAAUAUCGCUGCGAGGUGGCGAGGCGGGAUAAACCCCACAACUACCGCGACUCGCGUCUCUAAGCGAGCGUGUGUAACGUUUAUUUUGUAUAACAAUGAGCUACUAUGCCAAUAGAGAAUAAACUAAGCUAUCAAAAUUGAGAAAAUCCAGCUCAGAAAUCAUCCAACUAAAACUCGUUGAAUUAUUUAAUUAAUUGAUCAUAAAUUAAGGUAAUAUAACAAAAAUGGGUUUUAUGUCGAAAUUAACUAUUAUUGCAGGA